GGGAGUAUACGCUAUCUCGGGGGCCCAAUCGGGAAUGUACACUGCCUGAACGUUCAGCUCGUGGCUGGUCGAAUGGCUGCUUGCUGGGAUGCUGCUGGAAAGGUUCGUCUGCCCUUGUCCUACUUCGGGAUACCUCGUCCGGGGCACGUUGGAUCCCGAUGCGUUGCAAAAGUUGAUUCACCAAAGUUGUCUGUUGUGCAAGGGCGCUCGUCAACUCUAUGACUUGUCGAGACAAGUGUUGUUCGCCAUUUGGAUUGGAAGAGCUUGGAAUGAAUGCGCCUCCUUGAGUAGUGGAAGGGUGGUAGACUCCGGGCGCGAGAUUUGAGUUGGGAAAUGUCAAAUCC
RNAcentral lists this long non-coding RNA (344 nucleotides) under Malus domestica (apple). RNAcentral describes it as "long non-coding RNA (MDOM_LNC001869)". The record is from RNAcentral. Lineage: Eukaryota; Viridiplantae; Streptophyta; Magnoliopsida; Rosales; Rosaceae.